Molecule: long non-coding RNA, 4127 nt
Organism: Drosophila eugracilis
Lineage: Eukaryota; Metazoa; Arthropoda; Insecta; Diptera; Drosophilidae
Exons: 2
Source: RefSeq, a predicted model, not a curated record
UAAUACCGCGUUUAGUGAAAAGAAAAUCGAGAAACCGACUUCGUAUUAUGUCAAUCAAUCAAACUGCGAUUCAAUUUCAAUCACACUAAAAAUGCAAUCUAAAAAGCCCGAAAAAUAAUCAAAAUAAACGAAUGAAAAGAGGAAAACGCGACUCCGCCUUGCCACGCCCUCGUCUUUUGGAAUUUCCAGUCCGGGUUCCAGUUUUCCAAUAUUCCAGAUACAGACCUCCCAGCUUCCAGCGAACCAACAAAAAAAGAAAAGAAAACAGCUGCAAUGCUCCAAUCCCAAACGCUGAGAUAAAAACCAAACGCAGUCGCCCAAUGCAUAUAAAUGAGCGCAGGAGCCCGGGAAACACGUAGCCAGCAAGGAAAGGAGAGCCAAAAAGGAUACCUCAUCCCUUGAAGAGCGGCGGUGGUGGCUCUAAUUAAGACAGGCCUGGUCUGGUUUGGUCUGGUCUGGGCCAAAAUUAAUGGAACCCACGAGCGGCGGAGCGUUUUCGGUGUUCACACAAAUUAAAUUCCAUGAAGUUUAUUUGCUGUAAAUGAGGCAGUGGCAGAAGGAGUGGAAGUGCUGGCCCUAAUUCAAUUUCCUCUCGUCCUUAACCCUUCUUUUCUGUGCCCCGUUAGUACGUGUUGCCAUGUUGCCAUGUUACCAUUUACCACUUAGAAGCGAAGGAAUAGGCCUACUCCUAAACAUUUAUACAAAAACACACACACACAGAUGCUAAAUCAGAUUCGUUCGAUUUAUAUUCGUUAGAUUUUCCAUGUAAAUAGUCAUUAUAAUUAUUAUUGUGGUCUACGUUGAUCUCUAGCCUCGGGCAGAGUCAGCGAUAAACCUUGAAAAGAAAAGGAAACACAAAAAUUGUAAACAUAAAUCUAAUAUUUAUUACGAAACUUCAAAUUUGUGCAUCUCGCAAAUGCUAUGAUUACAAAAUUAAAAAACAAAACGAGAAUGAGACGAAGGAGGAGAUAGCAGAGGGCAAAUCUAUUAAUUAGUAAUUAUUAUAAUGUGAUGUUAUAUAUAUAAAUCAAUCGAUAAACAAGAAACCUAAAGCAAAUUAAAACGGAAGGAAAAAUGAAAUAUACAAAACUGUUAACCAACGUAACAAAUUUCACUAAGUAGAUUUUUCGAAUUAAAUUUAAAUUAUAAUAAUUAAAAGUAUAGCAAACUUAAAAACAAAAUAACUUUGCUGUAUACACGAGAUAAAACUGCGUUUUUCUACUUAAAAACCAAAAGGAAUAUGUAAAAUGAUUUUUCAGAUUUAGAUUACCCCAUAUACCCUUAAUUAAUAAUUAUACAUAUAUAAAUUACAAAUUCUAUGUAAAUGUUGUGCGUAUAUAAAAGCAAAGGAAAACAAAACAAAGUAGACACCCACACUUCUAUAUCUUUCAGUUAUUUAUUAUGUGUGUGCUAUAUCCUCUUCUAUAUGUAUACAUUACAAAAAACAAAAACAAAAACAAAAACAAAAAAGAGCGCUUGGCUUCGUCUAGCAAACAUUUUGGGCCUUAAAGCAACCUACUCAAGCCGGGGCCUUGGUGUUCUUCUUAUUACCCAGCAUUCUUCAGAUCAAUAUAUAUGUAUGUAUCUAUAUACCCCCGGGGAGGGGGGCAACCCACACACUACUACUAAUGGUUAUUCUAUAUCUAAACGUGAAUGUGUUCGUUUCUAAACUUGUAAAAAAGCACGCCUCCCUCUCCGCUCAGACACGAAAUGUUUGUAAAAUAUUGACAGAGGAGGCGAAAACGAAAUUAACUUACAAAAUAUUUAUAAUAUUUCCGGGAGUAAAGGAAGAAAACAUUUUAGUUUUUCUACUUGAAUCGCAUUUCUUCCACUUUUCAAACAAAAAACCAAAUCCAAUUUAAAUGACAAAAUUGAUACGAUGAAUUGAAUUUUGAGUCCUUUCAAUCCUCGAGCUCAAAACGAAACCCUAAUAAACAAAUUAAUAAUAAUGAAGUUUCUAGGUUCUAUUAUUUAGUUGUCUUGUUAUUUAUAUGUUUAGCUUUAGUUUUUGUCUAAUUUAUUUCUAAGUUUUGGCUCCGCAAUAAAUACAGACAAUUAUAUAUAUUUUUUCUAUAAUUUGUUUCAUUUUUAUUAUUUUCGAUUCGUGAAAAAGAAUGAUGAAAAACCAAAAAAAAAAAAAAAAAGAAAUGAAAACUAAAAAAUUGAUAACAAAUGAAUUGCUAAAUUUAAGCGCAAAAGUUCAAUUAAUAAAAAUUAGAAUUUUAAUAUUAACAUAAUUUGGACUAUUUAUAUAUACAUACGCAUAUAUAUACAACUCUAUAUAUGAAUAAUUAGUAACAAAUCAAAUCAAUUUCCAUAACAACCGCCAGAAAAAAAGCAAAAAAAAUAUAUAUAUAUUCUUAGUGACGAGUGCAAGAACAAACACUCGUGCAAUUGUACUUUAAAAUUGAAUAAAAUUCAAAAAAGAAAACGAAAACGAAAAAAAAACCAAUGAACAGUGAAGAAUGGAAAGGAACAAGUGGAAUGGAAUGCAACUCUGCUUUGCGCAGCGUUGCCAAUGUCAACUUGCAGGCAGCCUUUAGAAGAGUACAGAGCAACCGUCGAAACACAAGCAGACUCCUCACUCACACACAAGGCUUGAGAUCUCAAUAGAGCGAAAAAGGGAUAAAUAGAUAGCGAGUUGAUAUGAUCAUGAUUAACGGUGGAUGUGUCGUGCAUGUUGGGAGAGCAGCAAUCGCAACAAUAAUUCCAGGCAUAUCGAAGCAUUUUUACUCAGCACUCAGACGACAGCAAUCAGCGAAAUCGGCAACCAAAACUGAUGGCAAUAACAAGCAAAAGGUAACCAAUUCGGGAUCAGAGAGCGAAGACAAACAGAGAGCGAUACAAACAAACAAACAAACACACACAGACACAGAAACAGAACACACAAUCACAAUAAAGGACGAACGCGACAAGUAAAAAAGAAAACUUAACGGGAUUCACAUAUGUAUAUUCAAGAAGCAAUAAUGAAAGUAUAUUUCCAAGUAUGAUAAAAAGAAAAACAACAACCAAGAAAGUCAAGAACUAACAUGAAUAAAUAUUUAUACAUAUAUUUUAAUUAUAGUUACAAAUUAGCAUAUAUAUAUAAAAAUUAUACAUACAUACAAAAAUAUAUACCGAAGAUAGUCCAAAUAAUUUAGCAAGAUGAAAUGAAAACCGAAAAGCGAAAAACAAAGUAAACUUUAAUAUUUACAAAAUAUUAAAAUAUCAAUGUGCAAUUUAACAAGCGUUUAAAACACCACACACUGAAACACACACAGCCACACAAAAUUAAUGCUACACCUAUAUAUACAAACAUAUACAUAUGUAAACCGAUUAUAAAACAUUAUAUAUGCGUAUAUAAAAAGUCGAUACGAAAUAACGAUCCAUUUAAAAAUGAUAAAAGGCAAGAGACAAGGCGAGCGACAAACUUUAGUGGCGAGGAAAAAAGAAAAUACAAUUUAGUUUUGUGUGCGCACAGGAACACCACAGUAAACCCUACUUAAAAAGGAAAUCAAAAUUCAACUAACAAACAACCACACGAAACGAAGCCGUGCUAAAUGCUACAAGAAGCGGUUCAAGUCAAGUUUUUGAGCAAAUACUCAUAAUUGUUAAAAAUGUUUAAAUAAUAUAAUAACAAAAACAAAACACAAAAAAAAUAAUUAAAACCACAAAAUAAAAAUCCGUAACAAAAAAUAAAUUGCAUAUUAUCAUAUAUUUUCUCUCUCCUUAGACAAUUUAGUUAAUUAUGAAAAGUAAUGAAAAACAAACAUUAUACUUAAGUGUUAGUCUUAUAUAUAAAUAAAUAUAUGAUUAAUUAAUAAAAACGAUAAAAGCAGAAAAAGAAAAUCAAGGAACAGCAGCCGACGAAUGAGAUGUGAAAGAGCACAGUAACAGCAAAACAAAACAAAACCAAAAAAAAAAAACAAAGUGAAAAGAAAAUAAAAUAAAAAACCAGCAAAGAAACAAAAUCGAAAUGAGAAAAACAAAACUUAAAUUAAGAAAUUAGAUUUGCCUUUGUGUUAAAUAUCAAGUGUGUUUCUUAUUACCAUUAUUAUUAUAAUUUUUUCAUUUCCAAUUGGUCAGACGUGUGAAAUGAUUUCCUUACAUAUUGAUUGAGAAAUAAAAAUUAUUAAACAAAAAAGCAA